UCUACAUGAAGUGUACCCCGAUCUGUAUUUGUUGUUCAGUUUAAUUUCUGAAGAACACAAUUUACAUAAAUGUGUCUAUGUUUUGUUUUGAAGGAUGACUCUUUUCUUCUCUUUCUCUACCUCUGUCUGUGUGUGACAAUGUUCUUUUCAGACAAUGAAGUGGACGGGGAAACAGUAGAGUAUGGCCUGACGGAUAAUAUGGUAUCAUGCCUUUUUCCUGGAUCAUUCAAAAAACAAGUCAAGUUCAACAAAUUUAUACAGGAGUUAAAGGAUGUUGUAACACUGACUGUAGAACCAGUGCCUGAAGAAUGCAUUGAGCAGCCUUCGACUAUAGAAAGGUAAAGUUUGAUAUGUUGAGCAUUAAAAGCAUUAUAUAUCUAUUAUCUAAUAGGUAUUGUAGCUCUAUGAAUAUGACAUUCGAUAUAUUGUUUCCUUUGUUUGUGAAUUGUUUGAUACUUGUGGGUUGAUCUGUGUAUUGCUGGUAAUUCAAGUUCUUCAUCCCUUCUCUUCCCCAUCUCAGCAGUGAGACAAAUCGGAGACUGCCUGCUGGUUUCAUCAUUCCACCUUUCCCCAGAGAUCUUCAGACCAGACUCGACAACAAAGAAGCAUGUUUGAAGUUAUCUAGAGAUCGACAUAGGAUCAUUCGAGUUCCCAUGAAGCAAUCAUCGAAUACACAAUGUAUCCCACCAACGCAGAAUAUGUGCAAGUUGUUAAAACACAAGUACCCUGUCCUUAAGGAUCUGGAGGGAAACGGCUAUCAUACCUGGCAUCAGUCCCUCAAACGCAAAUUCAAAGCAGAGCGUGCACCUUUGGUUCAUGAAGACGAGGUGAGAAGGAGUAAGGAGAAGUUUGGGCACAAGAGAGCCAGACAGUCUACGGAGGCUGCAAGAACCUAUUGCAGAUCUGUGCCAGGGGUGAGUGGAUUAAUGCAGCUGCUUACAGUUCUUAGAAAAGUUAGUGUACAAUAA
RNAcentral lists this long non-coding RNA (968 nucleotides) under Dicentrarchus labrax (European seabass). RNAcentral describes it as "lncRNA (ENSDLAG00005029909.1)". The record is from RNAcentral. Lineage: Eukaryota; Metazoa; Chordata; Actinopteri; Moronidae.